GCCUACGGGAGGCAGCAGUGAGGAAUAUUGGUCAAUGGGCGAGAGCCUGAACCAGCCAAGUCGCGUGAGGGAAGACGGUCCUAUGGAUUGUAAACCUCCUUUGCCGGGGAGCAAAAAGCGGUACGUGUACCGCAUCGAGAGUACCCGGAGAAAAAGCAUCGGCUAACUCCGUGCCAGCAGCCGCGGUAAUACGGAGGAUGCGAGCGUUAUCCGGAUUUAUUGGGUUUAAAGGGAGCGUAGGCCGGCUUUUAAGUCAGCUGUGAAAGUCCGCGGCUCAACCGUGGAAUUGCAGUUGGAACUGGAGG
This 305-nucleotide ribosomal RNA is filed under the name uncultured bacterium. RNAcentral's name for it is "bacterial SSU rRNA". It matches the Rfam family "Bacterial small subunit ribosomal RNA", at positions 337 to 639 of the family's 1533-position model. The record is from RNAcentral.